RNAcentral lists this ribosomal RNA (200 nucleotides) under uncultured bacterium. RNAcentral describes it as "partial 16S ribosomal RNA". It matches the Rfam family "Bacterial small subunit ribosomal RNA", at positions 30 to 228 of the family's 1533-position model. The record is from RNAcentral.
AUUGAACGCUGGCGGCGUGCCUAACACAUGCAAGUCGAGCGGUAACAGGUGUAGCAAUACAUGCUGAUGAGCGGCGGACGGGUGAGUAACGCUUGGGAAUCUGCCUAUCAGUGGGGGACAACCCGGGGAAACUCGGGCUAAUACCGCAUACGAUCUACGGAUGAAAGCCGGGGACCGCAAGGCCUGGCGCUGAUAGAUGA